CCUACGGGAGGCUGCAGUAGGGAAUAUUGCUCAAUGGGGGAAACCCUGAACCAGCAACGCCGCGUGGAGGAUGACGGUUUUAGGAUUGUAAACUCCUUUUGUUAGAGAAGAUUAUGACGGUAUCUAACGCAUAAGCACCGGCUAACUCCGUGGCAGCAGCCGUGGUAAUACGGCGGCUGCAAGCGUUACUCGGAAUCACUGGGCGUAAAGAGUGCGUAGGCGGGGUAAUAAGUCAGAUGGGAAAUACUUGAGCUUAACUUCAGAACUGCAGUUGAAACUGGUACUCUAGAGUGUGGGAGAGGUAUGUGGAAUGCGUGGUGUAGGGGUGAAAUGCGUAGAGAUCAAGAGGAAUACUGAUUGCGAAGGCGGCCUGCUGGAACACUACUGACGCUGAGGCACGAAAGCGUGGGGAGCGAACAGGAUUAGAUACCCCUGUAGUC
RNAcentral lists this ribosomal RNA (440 nucleotides) under uncultured bacterium. Its description in RNAcentral is "partial 16S ribosomal RNA". It matches the Rfam family "Bacterial small subunit ribosomal RNA", at positions 338 to 795 of the family's 1533-position model. The record is from RNAcentral.